GACGAACGCUGGCGGCGUGCUUAACACAUGCAAGUCGAACGAAGUGGCGAACGGGUGAGUAACGCGUAAUCAACCUGCCCUUCAGAGGGGGACAACAGUUGGAAACGACUGCUAAUACCGAAUACUGAAGGAGGGGAUUGCGUGGGAGUAGCUAGUUGGAGGGGUAACGGCCCACCAAGGCGAUGAGCAGUAGCCUGUUUGGGAGGGUGAACGGACACAUGGGGACUGCGACACGGCCCAGACUCCUACGGGAGGCAGCAGUGGGGAAUCUUCUGCAAUGGACGAAAGUCUGACGGAGCAACGGCGCGUGAGUGAUGACGGCCGUCGGGUUGUAAAGCUCUGUUAAUCGGGACGCGGUACCGGAAUAGAAAGCCACGGCUAACUACGUGCCAGCAGCCGCGGUAAUAC
Molecule: ribosomal RNA, 408 nt
Filed under: uncultured bacterium
Lineage: Bacteria
Description: partial 16S ribosomal RNA
Rfam family: Bacterial small subunit ribosomal RNA
Source: RNAcentral